This 402-nucleotide RNase P RNA is filed under the name Spirochaetaceae bacterium. Its description in RNAcentral is "RNase P RNA component class A". It matches the Rfam family "Bacterial RNase P class A". Rfam says of the family: Ribonuclease P (RNase P) is a ubiquitous endoribonuclease, found in archaea, bacteria and eukarya as well as chloroplasts and mitochondria. Its best characterised activity is the generation of mature 5'-ends of tRNAs by cleaving the 5'-leader elements of precursor-tRNAs. The record is from RNAcentral. Lineage: Bacteria; Pseudomonadati; Spirochaetota; Spirochaetia; Spirochaetales; Spirochaetaceae.
AGCGAUGAACCGCCGCCGCGUUAACAGGGCGCGCUAUAGCGAUGGCCCUAUUAAUGAGGAAAGUCCGGGCUCCGCAGGGCAUGAUGCCGGUUAAUGGCCGGGGGUUUCGCCGCUUGCUUCGCAAGAAGGCGGAAUCACAGACAGCGCAACAGAAAGUAUACCGCUGCCUGUAGUAAGGCAGGCAGUAAGGGUGAAAUGGCGGGGUAAGAGCCCGCCGCGGAAUUGGUAACAAUUCCGGCAUGGCAAGCCUCAUCAGGAGCAAAGCUGAACAGCGGUUGAGCGCCCACUCUAUAACCGCGGGUAGGCUGCAUGGAAACUGCCGGCAACGGCAGUUCAAGAUAGAUGGCGGCAGUCCUUCCAUUGGAAGGGAUACAGAAUCCGGCUUACGGUUCAUCGCUUUUU